Molecule: ribosomal RNA, 496 nt
Filed under: uncultured bacterium
Lineage: Bacteria
Description: partial 16S ribosomal RNA
Rfam family: Bacterial small subunit ribosomal RNA
Source: RNAcentral
AUGAACGCUGGCGGCGUGCCUAAUGCAUGCAAGUCGAGCGAACGGACGAGAAGCUUGCUUUUCUGAUGUUAGCGGCGGACGGGUGAGUAACACGUGGAUAACCUACCUAUAAGACUGGGAUAACUUCGGGAAACCGGAGCUAAUACCGGAUAAUAUUUUGAACCGCAUGGUUCAAAAGUGAAAGACGGUCUUGCUGUCACUUAUAGAUGGAUCCGCGCUGCAUUAGCUAGUUGGUAAGGUAACGGCUUACCAAGGCAACGAUGCAUAGCCGACCUGAGAGGGUGAUCGGCCACACUGGAACUGAGACACGGUCCAGACUCCUACGGGAGGCAGCAGUAGGGAAUCUUCCGCAAUGGGCGAAAGCCUGACGGAGCAACGCCGCGUGAGUGAUGAAGGUCUUCGGAUCGUAAAACUCUGUUAUUAGGGAAGAACAUAUGUGUAAGUAACUGUGCACAUCUUGACGGUACCUAAUCAGAAAGCCACGGCUAACUACGUG